CUCAAGUGCCAGAUGCCUGCGAGGCCACCCUGGAGAGUGACCAGAGCUUUGGGAAGGGCCAUCCCACCCGCUGCAGGACAUUCUUGUUUACCUCCUAAGAAAAACACAAAACCAAAAGCCCGUGUGGGUGGAAUUUCAAGUCCUGGGCUUUCUCAGUGGGCUGCUCUCCCCGCAGUCCUCUUCCUCCCUCUCCGGGGCCUGCUCUCUCCCUCUUUGUUGCCAAGCUCAGACGUCGCUGCUGAAACCCAGCCCAGCGUCCGCGAAGCCCGGAAACUUCCAGCUCGGCGACUGUGCACAAAGUUGGGGUGGCGAGGCCAGGGUGACAGCAGCGCCCCGGCCGGCCGCGGCGGCGACCGCGUCUGCACUCGGCUGGGGCUGCGCGCCGGGACCCGGGACGGUCUGCGGGGCCGGACCUGAACUUGACCGCGAGUGCCCGCGCCGCGGGGCCUCUGGGACCACCUGGUAAGCGCUCGCCCUGGCACUAGCCGGCUGGGCCGCGGCGGCAGCGGGAGGGGGCGUCCCGGGGGCGCUUGGGGACGCGGGGCGCGCAGCCCCGCCGUGGGCGCCCCUGGCCUUAGCGAACAAAGGCUGCGGAUGGGGCAGGGACUCCUCCCGACAUUUUCCUCCCCGCGGCAGGGCAGGCGCGGGUGCGCCGCCAGGGCUCUUAAAGGGGAAAGAUCACGCCGGCGGCCUCUCGCUGCUUUCCUGCACAUGGCCCUGCUUUGGCUGCAGGGAGGAAGGAGUGGGCACCGGUGCCACAAGCGCCCAGGUGUUAACCCGCCCAGCCCCGGCUGCCAGACACUGCGUGAACAGCCAGGGCCUGCCUGGGGUGAGGCCCCUCCAUGAACUGGCCGUCCAGCUGCCUCCUCAGGUUGCAACAGGAACGUGGGCCCUGGUGAACGUUGCGCCUGCUCUGCCCCCACAGCCUGGUGACACCCUGCCCUACCCUGGGCGACCCUGAUAGUAGAGCCUGGGGCUGCCAGCAUUCUGUCUGCUCUGCUUGGGGCAGCCACAAUGCCAAGUGGCCAUGGUGGGUGCUGGGCACACACAGCAGCUGUGCACAGGGACUAGAAGAAAGAGCCCUGGCCUGCAGGGUCUGGCCCUGGGGAAAGGUGUGGGGCACUGCUGUCUCCCUCCAGCCCCUGCCAACCUGCCCAGACCCAGCCCACCCUCCAGCUGGCUUCAUUUCACCCAUCUUCCUCAGCUUGCUGAGACAAGAUGCCUGCCCAUGGGAGUGGCAUGGUCCCUGGGGGGCACCCAUGGGAUAGAAAGGCACCCCACUGUGAGCAGUGGCAAACCCCUAAAAGCUCCUAGAUCUCUGUUCCUGUCCCAGGCCUCUAGCCCAGGGAGCCUCUGAGUUUAACCAGGUGCCUGUAACCCCUCGAAGUCCACCUGGUUGUUGACCCGGUCCCCAGCCUUCCAGAGGCCAUCAGUAAUCUUCGCUUUCUGGGACCCUAGCGUCCUUGGUGAGAAGCUGCAGGACCCGUGGGGGAGCUCCCAGGCAAGAGUAAAGGUACCUGGCCCUGGGGUCCCAGUGGGUCGCUCACAGUGCCCCAGAUUCUCCUGUAAGUUCUCAAACGGGGAGAAGCCAGGGGGCUCAAGGGGAGCCUGCAGGGGAAGGGAGCCAUGGGCCUGCCCUAAGGGAAGGCCAUGCAGCUCAGAGAGGUGUAGCUCAGAGAGGGCAGAGCCCUUGGGCUGCCAGAGCACCAACUUCAGAUGGAUAUCCAGAUUUGUACAUGGGAUGGCCAAAAUCUGAAAGCACUGCAGGACUAGGAAACACAUGCUUGGAUUGACCCUGCCCCUGCCCCCAGGUUGCAAGCCCCGUGUAUGGGGGAGGUGGCUCAUGUUAAAAGCAGGCUUCCUAGUGACCCCAGCCCCAGCCAAGGCCUAGAGAGGAAAGCCCCAGGCAUCUGGGGAGCCAGAGGGAGGGUGUGUACUUCAUCACCCAAUAACACAGGGAAGUUGAGCUGUCAGGUAACCCAUGCGUACUUGCUUCUCAGAGGCCAGAUUUAUUUAUUUCAGGAGAUUUGAAGUUAAAAUGAGAUACCUUCCCUUCUCUGGCCCCAAGUCCUCUCGAGCAGCUUCCAUGUCCACUGAGGCAGUGCCUACAGGGAUCAGUGUGUAAUGAAGGAAAGACAGGAUGCAGAAAAUGAGCCUGAACUUGAAGUUGUUUGGGGUCCCACAUGGUGAGCCCCAGUGGGUGGCAAGUACCAUGGCCCUGCAGAGAGAUGGGCCUGCCCCAUAUCAAGUAUCACCUCGCCUCUCUGAGCCUCAGUUUCCUCGCCUAUAAAAUGGGCUUAAUAGGGGCUAGGGCUAUAGCUCAGGGUUAGAGCGCUUGCCUAGCACAUGUGAGGCACUGGGUUUGAUCCUCAGCACCACAUAAAACUAAACAAAUAAAAGAAAGGCAUUCUGUCCAUCUACAACUAUAAUUUUUUUUUAAUGGGCUUAAUAGUUCCGACUCACACAGCAGAUCUUCAGGAGUCAUUAGUGACUGCUAUGUUCCUGAGGACCAGUGGCCCAGGCUUCUGGCUCCUGUCACAGGUCACCUGUCUCUGGGGCAGCUCAGGAAUUUCUCUCUUGCAUCUCAAGUCAACUCUCGUUUGCUUUCCUUUUCCUUCUCAUGUUUAUGUUCUUUUCCUAGCAGCCUCUCUGAGCCCCUCCCCUGUGCCUACAGCCCUUGCCAGGCCUGAGAGGCAGGUCCCUGCUGUGAGAAGCUGCUGAAUGUCCCCUGUAAUGAAAGCAGCUGGGACAGUCUGUUGAAUGCCACCAGAGACUGGCAGCUCCUUACCUCUCUGACAGUAUUGUUGCAGAAAUUGUAGGUGAAACCUCCCAGGUAUCCAUGAGCCCUAACUGGGAGGACCAGAAGGGAGACAGGUCCCCACGCAGUGGCUCUGUGUCUGAGGCAUCUGGUUUUGCUGGAGAAACCAUAAUAUUGUAAGAAUGUCCUGAGAACUUGGUGAGGUACUGAUUUCAGUCUUCAGGAAAAGAAUCGCUAGUGAUGGAUGCAUGCUUUUAGAAAACCAGAACCCUGUUUCCCCUUUCUGCUCACCGCCAUUCAGCAAUGCCAAGGCCAUGUGGGUGACCCCACCCACCUCCUAACAAGCCGGCCUCUGUCCUUGAGGACAACAGACAUGUGCUUUGGUUUUCUGGGUUUAAACCCCUCCGGCUGCCAAUAUCUGAAAACCCGGAUAAAAUAUGAGAAGAAAAGGAAUCACUGAAGUGACAAACAAAGCUACUGCAAAAAGUGGGCCACUGCAUCCAGGAGACUGAAGAGCAAGACCCAGGCACAGAGGCCUGCAGUCUCCCCAGGCCGCCUGCAGACUUUGCAGGGCCCAGUGUAAGAUGAAAAUGUGUGGCCUUGUUCAAAAAUGACAAGCAGGUCGGGAUGAUGGCAGACAGCAGUGAGCUGCGCUCAGGCCCUCCUGGGCCUGGGGCCCUGGGUGGCAGCGUAGGUGAAAAGCCCGAAGCCAGCCUGCCCCCUGCACCUGUUCAAGCCAAGUGCUGAGGCCAGGGAGACCGGCGGGCGUCCUCAUGGCUCCUGGAGGAGCCCUGAUGGUUCUCUCCUGCUUGUGGUUCCAUCGUGGAGGCCCCAUGUAACCUGGGACAUUCUGAAUCCUCACAAAAAAAGAAAACCAUCUUUCUUUCCGUUUUUCCUUUUCUUUUCCUUUUCUUUCUUUUUUUAGAAAACCAUCUGUCAAUCACCUUUGAAACCAUGCUGGGCCAGCCCUGGGAACCUCGGCCGUGUCCAGGAGCACAUAGUGAUAGUGUUUCAACGUCAGCGUCUGAGCGUCUUGUUGUGUGUGGUUGACCUUCUGCUAGUUCUCUAACUGUUGAGCACAGACCUUUGCUUUCCUUGGAAGAUCCUGUUCCCCAAUUGACUCCAACACCUGCUCGCGUUCCCCUGGAGGCUUUCCUCAACCAACCCCUCAUUACACGCACAGAUUCCUCCCGAGCAUUUUCAGUUUUCCCUUCUAGAAACAGCACUGGAAGGACAUGUGUGCGCAUUUGUUUCCUAAGGGAGAAAACCAUGCUUUGGUGCUGCUGCUGCUUCUGGGUAUGGGAGAACUUUUAGUUCCAGAAGUUUCUUAGACUUGUCAGUGGAAUCCCAUUUUGCCCAAGGACUUCGGUCUUGACUCUCUUAUGCAGUUCUAGGGCUGCAGCCCUGGCAUCUGUAACCGGCCUCUUUGUGGAUGAGGACCUGGGCUCCCCGAAUAGCAGCCCUGGCCCGGGACCUCCAUGUGGACCACAGGAGAUUCUGCUGCCCUUACUGUAAGGAGGACAUGUGAGUGAUCGCUAUGCAGAUUAGCCGUGUGUCCUGCCAGACCAUAGACAGGAUUGAGAGUCCAUGAGUAGCAAGAUGGGCUGCCUGGACCACCAAGCCUGUCAGGCUGGCGCUGGAAUGAGAUAGCACUUGGCAUGGUGCCCACUCACGGGCUGCCCUCAGUAAAUGAAGAGGACAAGGACGUGGGCAAGGGGGUAAGAACUCUGUGGAGGGUCUGCCCACCUGGCAAAGGCUCCUCAGGACAGGGAUGAGGUGUGCUGGCCCCACAUAGACUCCAGGCCUCCCCCAGUGCCACCCAUGCAGAUGAGCCCUGUGAGCCAGGGGCUGUGUGGAGGGCUGUGUCCAUGCACCAUGCUCCUCCUGCUGAGGCAUCUGGGCAUGUUGGGGGGAGGGAAGGCCCACUGGAGUCCUGGGCUGCCAUGGCAACCUGCUGUUGAUGUACCAGCUUGAGCGACGCAAAUUUCUCCUUUUCUUUUUCAAUAUGGUGCUGGGGAUGGAGCCCGGGCCUUUUCUGAUGCUAAGUGUGCUCUAUCCCACUGAGCUGCACCUCGGGCUCUGAGUGUGUGUUUGUUAAUUACUUAUUAGUUAGGGAGGUCAGAGUCUGACGCGGUCUCUCUGGGCUCAGAUCAAGGGGCCGGCAGGGCCCGCUCCCUCCUGAGGUUCCAGGUGGGAUCCGUUGUCCUGCUUCUCCUGGUUCGGUGCCGCCUGCAUUCGUCGGCUUUCGGCCCCCCCCCCAUCCUGGAGCCAGCUGCCGCUUCUCACUCGUCCUCUGACCACAGCUGGGAAAGGUCUCGUGCUUUUCAGGAUCCGCGUGGUUAUGAGGUCACCCCCUGAAGGGUGAGGGAAAUGGAGACCUCAGCCCUGCUCAGGGGCCAGGCCCAGGGUCCUCCAACAGAUGCCCACCCUCCUUUCCCACCUGGGGUGGAGGGUCUUCGCCUGGAGGGGCCCCCCCGCUUGAAGACGGCCCCAGCUCAGUGACAGGAGAAGGGAGGGAGGAGGGAGCUGCUGCCUGGGCAGGACCUCCGCAUGUUGGUGCUGCUGGCCUAGGCUUCCUUCUCCUCCUCCCCAGACCCCGUGGCCUACAAGGUUAGUUUUCUCGUCUCUCAGGUCAAAAGCUGAAGCUCUCAGAGGAGCCGCAGUGUCCAAGGAGGAGACUUGCUUCUACAGAGAACCCGUGAAACCUUGUGGUUGGCAGAAAAGUAGGUGUGACUGGCACUGUCCCAUGACAGGAGGGCAGAGGUGCCGAGAUGUCAAUGGUCCCCGAGAGUCCUGGGGCACAGGCCUAGGCACUCACUGAUGGGCAGCUGAGAAGUGUCUGGAAUCACAUCUGUGGUUGUAAAGCUGGAGAAACAGCCUCAGAAAGGGGUAUUCAUUUUCCCGAAGACACACAGCUACUGGAGAGCUCUUCUGCUCUGACCUUCCACCUUGCCCCUGUGUCCUUCCCUGCAGGUGCACCGCACGCUCUGGAUCUGUGGGGCAGUCUGGGGGGAGGCUGGAUGGUCUGUUGUUAGAGCGCUUAGCUGUCCCUCUGGAAAGAAUCUUUCUCUAACAUGAAGUCACACCUAGACAGGGGCCAGGCAGUGCACAGUGUGGUGGUUAAAAGCUCCUGCAUGUGGAGCUGGGCCAUUCUGAGCUCAAAUCCUGAUGCCACCACCUGGGGUGCUCUUUGGCAUAUUGCUGACCUCUCUGUACUUAGGUUUUCCCAUCUGCAAAAUGGGGAUGAGAUGUUACAAGACUCCAGAGGACCCCUGGGAGGCCCUUGCUGGCAACAGACCCUGCCCAGAGCCCUCCCCUCCCACACAGCACUGCACAUACCCAAGGGAAGAUGGACACCUUCCCACCCCCAGCAUGGCCACAAAGAUUCAGGCUGAUUUCUAAACAAACUGCUGACCACUGUCCUUGGGCCUCACCAGGUGCAGGGCUCAAUGUCCUGGAUCAAUCUGGACUUGUUCUGGGGCUGGGGAGCUUCCAGUUAGAAGCCUGACUGGUCCCCACUUCUGCCCAUCACCAGGCAAAGGAUCUACGACCUUGGACAGGCUCUGUCCAGCCAGGAGCUGCUCUUGCUCCCCAACAUCAUGAGGCAGGACCGUGAGCACCACUGCCCUUCCUGUUUUUAUAGGUGGGUCAACUGAGGCCCAGAGACCCUAGAAAACUUGCCCGAGGCUGCACCCUGGCAAGGACAGGGCUGGACCUUGGUGGUGGCUAGACUCCAAGCCCAGGGCUGCAUGGAACCGCCUGCUCCCUCCAGGGACACGGCCUUUCCUCUCUCACUUAUCCAGUAGCCCUUGGUUCUCUCCAGACAGGCGGCAGCUCCUCCUGCCACACUGGCAGGACAGGCCUGCUGCUCUCGGGACAGAGGGGCCGUGAGAUGGCCAUAGGAGGAGGGGACCUGCAGCUUGCUCACAGAGGGCAGGUGUGCAUGGCAAAGGCGGAGGCUGAGCAGCUGGAAGUGUCCCUCCGCAGGGGUUUGGGCCACAGCACACAUUUUGGCCUGGGUGUGGCGAGCUGCUCUGAAUAAGAAAAUGAGAGAAUUUUCCAAGAGCAGCAUUUGGAGCUGGGGUAGCCUUUGAUAUGGGAGGGUGGGCCAGGGCAUGCACCCAAGGCUGGAGCCCGAAGAGGGCACCGUCGGUCAGUGUCCCCCUGAGCUGUCUGUGCCACGGCCGCCGCCUUGGGCCUGGCACUGGAGGAGUUAAGCUGCAGCAGGCACCUUGGCAUGUCGCACUGGCCAGAGUGUCCAGCGCCCCACCCCCACUGCUUUUUUCCUUUUUGCCUUUUCCUUCUUAAUUAAUCAUAGGCUGCUGCCCAAUUUAAAUAUGGAAAUGCCCAGGCUGGGCCAUGGGAUUAUUCAUGAGGCCAGGCCGGCUGUCCGGGGCACUGGGGCUACGGGGAGCAUCCGCAUCUCCUCCUUUCUGAUGUGUGUGAAAUUAUGUGCACAAAAAGGCGCCUCCUUAUCUGGGUGUGUGAACUAAAUAAAUAAAUAAGGGCUUUUGUUUGUUUGCCGGCUCCUGCACAUGACUGUUUUGACUGAACCGCUCGUGUUGUCUGCGCCUUUAUGGGACUCGGGAGACGGGGAGACGG
Molecule: long non-coding RNA, 7360 nt
Filed under: Marmota monax (woodchuck)
Lineage: Eukaryota; Metazoa; Chordata; Mammalia; Rodentia; Sciuridae
Source: RNAcentral